Molecule: ribosomal RNA, 267 nt
Filed under: Enterobacter sp. LP19
Lineage: Bacteria; Pseudomonadati; Pseudomonadota; Gammaproteobacteria; Enterobacterales; Enterobacteriaceae
Description: partial 16S ribosomal RNA
Rfam family: Bacterial small subunit ribosomal RNA
Source: RNAcentral
AGUCCCGCAACGAGCGCAACCCUUAUCCUUUUUUGCCAGCGGUCCGGGUGGGGACUCCACGGAGGCUGCCAGUGAUAAACUGGAGGAAGGUGGGGAUGACGUCAAGUCAUCAUGGCCCUUACGAGUAGGGCUACACACGUGCUACAAUGGCGCAUGGCAAGAGGCGCGGACUCGCGGGGGCAAACCGACCCCCCAAAAGCCAUCGUAGUCCGGAAUGCACUCUGCAACUCGACUCCAUGAAGUCGGAAUCGCUAGUAAUCGUGAUCA